RNAcentral lists this transfer RNA (76 nucleotides) under Planctomycetota bacterium. RNAcentral describes it as "Planctomycetes bacterium tRNA-Lys". It matches the Rfam family "tRNA". From Rfam's summary of the family: Transfer RNA (tRNA) molecules are approximately 80 nucleotides in length. The record is from RNAcentral. Lineage: Bacteria; Pseudomonadati; Planctomycetota.
GGGUGCGUAGCUCAGUUGGUAGAGCAACGGCCUUUUAAGCCGUAGGUCGAAGGUUCGAGUCCUUCCGCACUCAUCA